Molecule: non-coding RNA, 107 nt
Filed under: Clostridium senegalense
Lineage: Bacteria; Bacillati; Bacillota; Clostridia; Eubacteriales; Clostridiaceae
Description: Purine riboswitch
Rfam family: Purine riboswitch aptamer
About the family: Riboswitches are metabolite binding domains within certain messenger RNAs that serve as precision sensors for their corresponding targets. Allosteric rearrangement of mRNA structure is mediated by ligand binding, and this results in modulation of gene expression.
Source: RNAcentral
UAAAAUUAAAUAUAAGUUUCGUAUAUGCUUAAUUAUAUCAAUAUAUAUUGAGGUUUGAGCGUUUCUACCAGGAUGCCUGAAAUUCCUGACUACGAAUAUAAAGUAAA